Molecule: microRNA precursor, 66 nt
Organism: Amphilophus citrinellus (Midas cichlid)
Lineage: Eukaryota; Metazoa; Chordata; Actinopteri; Cichliformes; Cichlidae
Source: Ensembl
UUGUGCUUGAUCUAACCAUGUGGCCCCGCCUACUGUAACAUCACAUGGUUCCGUCAAGCGCCAGGG